This 271-nucleotide ribosomal RNA is filed under the name uncultured bacterium. Its description in RNAcentral is "partial 16S ribosomal RNA". It matches the Rfam family "Bacterial small subunit ribosomal RNA", at positions 524 to 794 of the family's 1533-position model. The record is from RNAcentral.
GACAGAGGUGGCAAGCGUUGCUCGGAGUUACUGGGCUUAAAGGGCGCGUAGGCGGUCGUGCACGUCGGUGGUGAAAUCCCCGGGCUCAACCCGGGAACUGCCGCCGAUACGGCGCGACUCGAGUGUGGGAGGGGAGAGUGGAACUCCUGGUGGAGCGGUGAAAUGCGUAGAUAUCAGGAGGAACGCCGGUGGCGAAAGCGACUCUCUGGACCACAACUGACGCUGAGGCGCGAAAGCCAGGGGAGCAAACGGGAUUAGAAACCCGAGUAGU